Molecule: small nucleolar RNA, 80 nt
Organism: Carcharodon carcharias (great white shark)
Lineage: Eukaryota; Metazoa; Chordata; Chondrichthyes; Lamniformes; Lamnidae
Product: small nucleolar RNA SNORD74
Exons: 1
Source: RefSeq, a predicted model, not a curated record
GGACCACGCUGUGAUGAGUCUUAUGUUGGUAGGGACAUCCGAGCUGCUGUGAUGAGAUUCCAACAUGCUGAGUGCGGAUC